This 465-nucleotide ribosomal RNA is filed under the name uncultured bacterium. RNAcentral's name for it is "partial 16S ribosomal RNA". It matches the Rfam family "Bacterial small subunit ribosomal RNA", at positions 28 to 507 of the family's 1533-position model. The record is from RNAcentral.
GACGAACGCUGGCGGCGUGCUUAACACAUGCAAGUCGAACGGCAAGGCCCUGCUUGCAGGGUACUCGAGUGGCGAACGGGUGAGUAACACGUGGGGGAUCUGCCCUGCACGUGGGGAUAAGCCUGGGAAAAGGGGUCUAAAACCGGAUAGGAGCCAGUUUUUGUGUGCUGGUUGGAAAGUUGUUUCGGUGUAGGAGGAGCUCGCGGCCUAUCAGCUUGUUGGUGGGGUAAUGGGCUACCAAGGCGGCGACGGGAAGCCGGCCUGAGAGGGUGGACGACCACAUUGGGACUGAGAUACGGCCCAGACGCCUACGGGUGGCAGAAGUGGGGAAUAUUGCACAAUGGGCGCAAGCCUGAUGCAGCGACGCCGCGUGGGGGAUGACGGCCUUCGGGUUGUAAACUCCUUUCGCUAGGGACGAAGCUUUUUGUGACGGUACCUAGAGAAGAAGCACCGGCUAACUACGUG